Molecule: transfer RNA, 73 nt
Filed under: Virus NIOZ-UU159
Description: tRNA-Lys
Rfam family: tRNA
About the family: Transfer RNA (tRNA) molecules are approximately 80 nucleotides in length. Their secondary structure includes four short double-helical elements and three loops (D, anti-codon, and T loops). Further hydrogen bonds mediate the characteristic L-shaped molecular structure. tRNAs have two regions of fundamental functional importance: the anti-codon, which is responsible for specific mRNA codon recognition, and the 3' end, to which the tRNAs corresponding amino acid is attached (by aminoacyl-tRNA synthetases). tRNAs cope with the degeneracy of the genetic code in two manners: having more than one tRNA (with a specific anti-codon) for a particular amino acid; and 'wobble' base-pairing, i.e. permitting non-standard base-pairing at the 3rd anti-codon position.
Source: RNAcentral
GCUCUCAUAGCUCAGUCGGUAGAGCGCAUGGCUUUUAACCAUGUGGUCGUGGGUUCGAGCCCCACUGAGAGUG